CAACACCCUUCACCUGUCAGUCAACCUCUGCGCUAAACAGCGGACAUAGACAAGCAUGAGAACUUCACGGAUCUUCUUCAGUGUGUCCGAUAUCAACAUGCAGGGACACUUAUGAGAAGCACAGACAUCUAAAGCUCAGGUUAAUACAGAAAACAACAGAAGUCUCAGGCAUGCUCAGUCACACUCCGAAUAAGAGACCAUGUCAAAGACAUCAGAUGCGGAGAAAGAUUUCUAUUUCUAUCCCCGGCUGGUGGAAGAAUCUGGACGUUUUUCUGCUCUGCUAAAAAUCUCAGCGGUGCUUCAAACCUGACCCAGAUAAGCUGUCUGCACAGCAGCAGAGUGCUCAGAUGGAGGAGAGAGGUGUGGGGGGAAACCCCGUCUCUAUGACUACAGAUGUCUGCAUCAGCUGCGGGCUAACCUGGCGUACUGGCCCAUUAGUCCAAUCGGCCGCAGAGGGAAGAGAUCAGCAGGGGGCAGUCAGCAUGCAUAAAAAAGCCACAGAAUGAGAGUCGGUCACAACGGAUGCAGUUAUUACAGCUGGACGAAGCACAACAGAAUGCAGGGACCUGGAGGUGAGAUUUUCAAAGUUUCAACUACUUUUAGCUUAACACAGCAUAUUAAAUACUCUGCGUUUAUGAUGCUGAAAACCAGUGAGAUGCUCCAAAAGCAGCCAUCUAACGCACAUGUACUUAAAACCGACAAUUAAAAAUUGUGCAGAUGGAACGCAAAAUGCAUCCUGUGAGAACCUGGACAGAUUGGCAAACUCGACUGCAAAAUGGAUUGCUGUCAACUAUAGGCUUGUUAAAUGAUAUGGGAACAAUAUAAUGACUACUAAAGCCACUUUUUGUAUUGUCUAAUCAAUAGCCCCUUUCUCACAUACAGCCUUUUCCAGAAAAUUACCUGCAAAUUUCAGGUUAGAGGUCAUGUGUGAAGCUCCGUAAACUUUUUGAAAAUUCUGGUACAUUUUGAAUGUGACACAAGGACACCAUUUUAAGAGCUGGCAUAAAUGUAGAUGAACCAGAAUUUUUUUAAAGCAGGCAGUUUGAAAGGAUUCAUGAAAAUGAAUCGAACACUUUCGAACAAUUCAUUACGAUCGCAAAACUCUGGCCUGUUAAUAGUUCCAAGAAUAUCAAAAUCCACAAAAGGAGGUAGAUCCUUAUCUUAUUUGGCUCCUAAACUAUGGAAUAGUCUCCCUAACUCUGUUUGGGACGCAGACACACUCAUUGAGUUUAAAUCUAGACUAAAGACUCAUCUAUUUAUGCAGUCAUACACCUAAUUUAUUCUUCACCUCAAAAUCAGCUGCUUUAGUUAGGUCUGCCGGAACCUGAAACAUUGAUCAUGAUCUAUAACUCUGCAAAAAAUUGAAUGGCAUCUACGCUAAUAUUAUUCUAUUUGUUUCCAUGCCUCAACCUCGGGACUCUAUUCCUGCUUGGUAUCGGACUCCACUGCUACGUGUCUCUGAGUGAUGAUGACUAAAUGCAGCCGGUGUCAGCCAGACAUCACUUCAGUCUAUUAUGAUGGACCUCAGAGGAUGAACUGAUGCCAAAUCCAACCAUAAGACAUGGGACACUUCCAUUGCCUGAACCUUGGACUUAGGAUAGACCUUACCGAAAUUACCGGCCAGUUGAACAGUGAAGCACCUCACUGAUCUCGGCCUGCAUCACUUCAGUCUAAUGAUGGACUAUACUUUUAAAAUGGAAUGCAUAGACUAUCAAUAAAUUGCCAACAAAAGCCUUCAUCAACAAACUAACAAAGGACAAUGCAUCAAUAUGAAUUUCUGCAGUUAAUCCAGGAUGAACUUCAAAGACAUUAGUCAUUAAACUUACACUUCUUACAAAAUCAUUGUUUAAACACUGGCCCUUAACACUUACUUAGUUUAAUCAUUUUAAACCAUGACUUGCACUGCACAUAAAUAAGUAAUAUUGGCAUUAUAUUCAUAGUUAGCCAGAGGGGAACUGGCCCCCACAGUGAGCUUGGUUUCUCCCAAGGUUAUUUUUCUCCAUUAACCAACAUCUUAUGGAGUUUUGUGUUCCUUGCCACAGUCGCCUUCGGCUUGCUCACUGGGGUUAUAAAUACAAUUAUGAUUUAAUUACUUAUUUUUAUACAUACUUCAUAAUCGUAUUUAAUCAGACUACACAAUGAUGACUCUAAGACUUUAUAGAUAUUACAGUUUCAUUUUCUGUUAAUGCAUGAUUUUGUGUAAAGCUGCUUUGAAACGAUGUGUUGUGAAAGGCACUAAACGA
Myxocyprinus asiaticus (Chinese sucker) is the source of this 2243-nucleotide long non-coding RNA. RefSeq lists it as uncharacterized. The transcript has 4 exons. The record is from RefSeq and is a predicted model, not a curated record. NCBI's taxonomy places the organism in Eukaryota, Metazoa, Chordata, Actinopteri, Cypriniformes, Catostomidae.